Molecule: unclassified non-coding RNA, 3212 nt
Filed under: Haliotis rufescens (red abalone)
Lineage: Eukaryota; Metazoa; Mollusca; Gastropoda; Lepetellida; Haliotidae
Description: fibropellin-1-like, transcript variant X1
Source: RNAcentral
GGAACGCCUUUCAUGAUAAACGUGAAGGACAAAAACGCUGGUGACUCUAACGAUGCCCUCAUCGAUGUCUUUAACACCACCCUCACGACUCCCUUGACAACAAACACAACUGCUGGGGUACCGCUGACGCUGAGUGGCACGAGGAUGAGAACUGUGUUAGUGUUAGACGUCAGCGUUGGCUGCACCCCCAACUACUACGGCAACGACUGCUCCAUCAACUGCACCACCACCUACAUCAAUUCCUACUGCGACCACACGACUGGGACCAUCCGCUGCAACCAAGGUUGGCAUGGAGACAAGUGUGAAGAGGACAUAGACGAGUGCUCCCCCACACAACUGAAUCAAGUAUGUCCGGGUAACAGCACAUGCGCAAACACCGCCGGAAGUUACACCUGUACCUGCAACGAUGGCUGGACAGGAUCGUCAUGUGACACAUUCCAAUCGUUGUGUACAAGUAACCCAUGCAGAAACAAUGGCACCUGUGUCAGUAGCUCACCCACCUUAUCCUGUCGGUGUUCUAAAGGGUGGUCUGGACCCACCUGUGAGACGUAUAGCCCUGGGUGCGAACCCAACCCGUGUUACAAUGGGGGUAGAUGUGAGGUGACAUCGGGGAAAGUUGUGUGUGGGUGUCCGGCCAGCUGGACGGGCGACAACUGUACAGAAGAUGUUAACGAGUGUAAACUACAGCCUUGUGCCAAUGGUGGAACGUGCAACAACGAAAAGGGUGGAUUCAACUGUACCUGCCCAGCAAAGUGGGUGGGUGAACGAUGUACGGACCUAAACCCCGUGUGUCCCCCAAGGCAGUGUAUGAAUGGGGCUACUUGUAUAAACCAGAUAGAUAUGUACGUCUGCGCAUGCCCGGAUGGUUGGACAGGGACCACGUGUCAAACAGUACUUGACAGAUGUUCCUCCAACCCGUGUCAGAACGGUGGCAGCUGUGUCCACAAUGACACGACGUUUAAAUGUGAGUGUGGCCAUGAAUGGCGUGGGGCUCUCUGUACGGAGUCCAAUGAUCCGUGCAUUCUCUACCCAUGUCAGAACGGUGGUACUUGUUUAAGAGCUGAUGAAACUAAUUCAACCUGCCAAUGCGCUCCUGGCUGGUCGGGACUUAAGUGUGAAACCUUCAUUGGUUUUUGUCGCAGCAACCCAUGUCUCAACAACGGCACAUGUUUUGACGGUACACACACCUAUCAGUGCGACUGUGGGCCGUCAUGGCAUGGAGAUCACUGUGAGCAAGACACCGAUGAAUGUGAGGCAGGUGCUUGUGAGAAUGGCGCGACAUGUGUGAACACCGUUGGAGGAUACAUCUGCAACUGUUCUGGAGGGUGGACGGGAUCGAACUGUUCAACAGAUGUACAGGAAUGCGGAUCCAACCCAUGUCUGAACCAAGGCUUCUGUGUCAACACGCUAGGCAGCUUUCACUGCAUCUGUAACCUGCAUUGGUCGGGAAACACGUGCGAACAUUUCAAAGGAUCGUGUACCGAGGGUUCGUGUAACAACGCGGGCACCUGUCAGAGCAACGAGACAGAUUCCUGGUGUGUCUGCCCUUCUGGCUGGACCGGGGCACACUGUGAACAAGACGUCGAUGAGUGUAAAGCGAACAUAUGCGAUCAUUCUACAGUAUGCACAAACAACAACGGCAGCUUCGAAUGCGAGUGCAUUGAUGGCUGGAGUGGACAGAAGUGUGAUCAGGACAUUGAUGAAUGUUUUCUUGGAAUGUGCGCUCAUGGUAGUUCGUGUUCCAACUAUGACGGUGGGUAUAACUGCAGCUGUAUGCCGGGAUGGAAGGGGACGACCUGCCAGUACAGGCAGGAUGCCUGUGCACCACCGAGUCCAUGCAUCAAUGGUGGAACCUGCUCCAACACUGACCAGGGCUACCGAUGUCAGUGCCCGGGUGGGUAUACCGGACAACAGUGCCAGGCACAAAUUGAUGAAUGUGCUGCCGGACCUUGUCAGAACAAUGCCACGUGUGUCGACAUUCCUGGAGGGUACAAUUGUACUUGCAACUCCUACUGGAAGGGUCACCACUGCGGCACGGACGUCGAUGAGUGCGUCUCGCCCCAGUGUCUCAACAACGGCACAUGUGUCAAUUACGAUGGUGGAUUCCGAUGUGCUUGUCCUGGAAAUUGGACAGGAAGUGUUUGUGGAGAUUUCGUUAAUAAUUGCAGCUGGAAACCAUGUUUAAAUGGGGGUAGUUGCACUGACCACAUAUAUGGGUACAGCUGCUCCUGUGCCUACGGGUGGACCGGUCAGCGAUGCGAUGUGGCUGUGGACCCUUGUGCAAACAGUCAGUGUGGUCAGGGGUCAACCUGUUUGUUCGCGGAUGGUCAAGUCACGUGUGUCUGUGCUUCUGGAUUGACUGGCCCACAAUGUUCCAGCACGAUAGACCCAUGCUGGUCUUCUCCGUGCUCCAACAAUGGGACAUGUGCCGUAGCUGACACAGCCGUGAUCUGUGUCUGUGUCCAUCCUUGGUCUGGCGCCCACUGUGACGUCAAUAUGUCUGAAGCUGCACAUGCGUCUUCAUCAACUACAGUUUCAUCGUCCAAAGGGACAUCAACAAGGUCGACAUCGUCUACACUGAGGUAUACGAAAACUACGUUUUCAUCAACAGGACCUAGUAUUCCCUUUUCUGAAAAGCACAGCACCGCGUCCAGCACCACGUCUUCUAAACGCAGACCAACCAUCCAGACUACACGGUCAAUAUCUUUAACUACUACUCCACACGCUACGACGGCAACGUCAACAACAACGAGAUCAACAACGACAACAUCAGUGCCACUCAGUCAUUCAACGAUGAAAAUCAGAAACACAAGUCCAACAAAUAUCCAACCCAAACAAACAGUCAGACAAACAAAUAAACGCAUGGGCGAGACAAACACAAGUCCACCUAACGUGCUUACAACAAACCCGUCAGGUUUAAGGAUGCCGUUUCGUUCAGUGUUCAAUGUGGCGAUAAACAGACAUCCACCAGUGACAUACAGAAAGCAAUUACUUCCGUCACAGCCGCAGACUUUCAGAAACUGUUUUCCAAACAACUUGUGUCAGAAAAUACAGGAAGCAAUGAAAAUACAUCAAAGAAGACAGUAAUCAUAUCAGUGUCUGUAUCAGUGGGAGUUGUCGGAGUCGCUGCCGUCGUCAUCACCAUCAUCUACUGCAGGCGACGGCGGGGGACAGCAGCAAGAGAUUACGUGUACGUGACUGAGGAAACCAAG